GAUGAACGCUGGCGGCGUGCCUAAUACAUGCAAGUCGAGCGAACAGAUGAGAAGCUUGCUUCUCUGAUGUUAGCGGCGGACGGGUGAGUAACACGUGGGUAACCUACCUAUAAGACUGGGAUAACUCCGGGAAACCGGGGCUAAUACCGGAUAAUAUUUUGAACCGCAUGGUUCAAUAGUGAAAGACGGUUUCGGCUGUCACUUAUAGAUGGACCCGCGCCGGAUUAGCUAGUUGGUAAGGAAAGGGCUUACCAAGACGACGAUACGUAGCCGACCUGAAAGGGGGAUCGUGCACACUGGAACUGGAGAACGGUCCAGACUCCUACGGGAGGCAGCAGUAGGGAAUCUGCCGCGAUGGGCGAAAGCCGGACGGAGCAACGCCGAGUGAGUGAUGAAGGUCUUCGGAUCGUAAGCUCCUGUCAUGUGGGAUAAAUGGCCGGGGCACGAAUAGUGCCUCGGAAUGAUAGUACCACAGGAGGAAGAGACGGCUAACUCUGUGCCAGCAGCCGCAGUAA
RNAcentral lists this ribosomal RNA (515 nucleotides) under uncultured bacterium. RNAcentral's name for it is "partial 16S ribosomal RNA". It matches the Rfam family "Bacterial small subunit ribosomal RNA", at positions 28 to 523 of the family's 1533-position model. The record is from RNAcentral.